RNAcentral lists this transfer RNA (76 nucleotides) under Gammaproteobacteria bacterium. RNAcentral describes it as "tRNA-Asn". It matches the Rfam family "tRNA". Rfam says of the family: Transfer RNA (tRNA) molecules are approximately 80 nucleotides in length. Their secondary structure includes four short double-helical elements and three loops (D, anti-codon, and T loops). The record is from RNAcentral. Lineage: Bacteria; Pseudomonadati; Pseudomonadota; Gammaproteobacteria. RNAcentral also lists the same sequence under 4 other names.
UCCCCGAUAGCUCAGUUGGUAGAGCGGUUGACUGUUAAUCAAUUGGUCCCUGGUUCGAGUCCGGGUCGGGGAGCCA